RNAcentral lists this long non-coding RNA (414 nucleotides) under Bos taurus (domestic cattle). RNAcentral describes it as "long non-coding RNA NONBTAT008280". The record is from RNAcentral. Lineage: Eukaryota; Metazoa; Chordata; Mammalia; Artiodactyla; Bovidae.
AAAAAUGCCUUUAGUUGUCAAAUGUAAAAUUUGUGCCAGUUUCGUCACAUUCUAUUUUUCAGGAGUGCUGUAAAACUAAAGAUGUUGUCUAUUAACAUCAGUUUAACUUUACAUGUUUUUCCCAUCUCGCUUAGUCAAUUUUCAAAACAAAAAAAAAGUGCAUUAGGCUCAAGGAAUCUAAAAUGACUUUUGUGGUGCUCAACAGAAUGCCUUCUCUUAAACUAAAUGUCAAAAUGUACUUUCUAAGUAUGGGCUGGUUACAGAGAAUGAACGAGAAAGCACUUCAUAAAGUGCAAUGAAAUGAAGUCAUAGAAGGAAUUCUUUAAGAAUUUGGAAAGCCGUGAGGGAGUACGAAGUUCUGUUAUUACUGUAAUCAUUAGCUCUCUUUUGGUUUUUCACUUUAUGAAUUAGAAU